CUACCAUGCAGCUUGCAGGGGCAUCAUGUAAUAAUAGCAAUAUUAUUUGAUGGCGACCAGCGCACGGGAUGCGUUAACACGCUAUGCAAUCUGCCUCGUACUUGGGCAUAACUCCGAGAAAUCGGUGCUAAUUCCCAAUAACACUAUGAAGUGGCAUCUCUUUAUAGUUAAAGCUCCGGCGGUACGAGAUGAGCAUGCGCCCAAUUAGCUAGUUGGUGAGGUAAUGGCUCACCAAGGCUACGAUUGGUAGGGGUUCUGAGAGGAUGAUCCCCCACACUGGUACUGAGACACGGACCAGACUCCUACGGGAGGCAGCAGUGAGGAAUAUUGCGCAAUGGACGACAGUCUGACGCAGCCAUGCCGCGUGAAGGAUGAAGGCCCUAUGGGUUGUAAACUUC
RNAcentral lists this ribosomal RNA (398 nucleotides) under uncultured Bacteroidota bacterium. RNAcentral describes it as "bacterial SSU rRNA". It matches the Rfam family "Bacterial small subunit ribosomal RNA", at positions 49 to 433 of the family's 1533-position model. Lineage: Bacteria; Pseudomonadati; Bacteroidota. The record is from RNAcentral.